GUGCGGCCAUGCUGGUCAGCGCCCGCGCCCUCCAGGGGCUCGGCUCGGCGUUCAUCGCGCCGGCCGCGCUC
Molecule: transfer RNA, 71 nt
Filed under: Actinoplanes digitatis
Lineage: Bacteria; Bacillati; Actinomycetota; Actinomycetes; Micromonosporales; Micromonosporaceae
Description: tRNA-Trp
Source: RNAcentral